Molecule: ribosomal RNA, 396 nt
Filed under: uncultured bacterium
Lineage: Bacteria
Description: bacterial SSU rRNA
Rfam family: Bacterial small subunit ribosomal RNA
Source: RNAcentral
AUUGAACGCUGGCGGCAUGCCUUACACAUGCAAGUCGAACGGCAGCGGACCUUCGGGUGCCGGCGAGUGGCGAACGGGUGAGUAAUAUAUCGGAACGUACCUUUCAGUGGGGGAGUAACGUAGCGAAAGUUACGCUAAUACCGCAUAUUCUGUGAGCAGGAAAGCAGGGGAUCGCAAGACCUUGCGCUGAUUGAGCGGCCGAUAUCAGAUUAGCUAGUUGGUGAGGUAAAGGCUCACCAAGGCGACGAUCUGUAGCGGGUCUGAGAGGAUGAUCCGCCACACUGGAACUGAGACACGGUCCAGACUCCUACGGGAGGCAGCAGUGGGGAAUUUUUGGACAAUGGGCGCAAGCCUGAUCCAGCCAUGCCGCGUGAGUGAAGAAGGCCUCGGUUGUAA